GUGGUCGUAGUGCAGUGGUCAGCACGUUUCGUUGUGGUAAGCCAUGAAUAUCGCUCCGAAGAGACGCAAGUUCGAAUCUUGCCGACCACA
Molecule: non-coding RNA, 90 nt
Organism: Knufia fluminis
Lineage: Eukaryota; Fungi; Ascomycota; Eurotiomycetes; Chaetothyriales; Trichomeriaceae
Source: the annotation of a GenBank genome assembly